GACGAACGCUGGCGGCGUGCCUAACACAUGCAAGUCGAACGCUGAAGGACGACCUGGCUUCUCUAGAAGAGUUGCAAACGGGAGAAUCACGCGAAUGUCCCCCGCCCGUCAUCGGGAGAUCACCAUUGAACACGAGCUCUAACAGCACAUACCCUGAUAUGCUGCUGGACGUUGGCGUAAAAGGUGCGUUUGCAUCACUACCGGACGCACCUGCUAUUCAAUUAGCUGGUGGGGGGAGUAACUACUCACCAUUGCAACGAUACACAGCCUACCAGAGAGGCCGAUCGCCCUCACAGUGACAGACACACCGCACUCACUCCUACGGGAGGCAUGAGUAAGAAAUCUUCGUGCAAUGAACGGAAGACUGACCGACCCCCCCCGCGUGAUUGAAGACUGCUUUCUGAUCACCUCGCUCUGUCGUGAGAGAACAACGACUGUGAGAGUGGAAAGGUCACACUGUGACGAAAUCUUACCAUACAGGGACGGCUAACUACGUGCCAUCAGCCGCGGUAAUACGUAUGUCCCGAGCGUUGUCCGGAUUUAUUGUUGCGUAAAGCGACUUGCACGCGGUUAGAUAAGUCUGCAGUUAAAGGCUGUGGCUUACCCAUAGUACGCUUUGAAUACUGUUUAACUUGAGUGCAUGAGGGGAGACUGGAAUUCCAUGUGUAGCGGUGAAAUGCGCAGAUAUCAGGAGGAACACCGGUGGCGAAAGCGGCUCUCUGGCUCGUAACUGACGCUGAGGAUCGAAAGCGUGGGGAGCAAACAGGAUUAGAUACCCUGGUAGUCCACGCUGUAAACGAUGAGCGCUAGGUGUGAGACCCUUUCCCGUGUUUACUGCCGCAGCUAACGCAUUUUACACUCCCCCUGGGGAGUACAACCGCGCGGUUGUAACUCUCAGGAGUUGUGACGGGCCCCCACACGCGCUGGAGCCAUGUGCUUAUUUUCGAAGCAACGCGCAAAAACUUAUCCCAGGUCUUGUGAUCCCUCUGACCGCUCUGCAGAUAUAUUUUUCCUUCUAGACAGAGGUCACAGGUGGCACAGUGUUGUUCUCAGCUCUGUGUCGUGAGAUGUUGGGUUUAGUCCCGCAACGAGCGCAACCCCUAUUGUUAGUUGCCAUCAUUCAGUUGGGCACUCUAGGGAGACUGCCGGUAAUAACUCGGAGGAAGGUGGGGAUGACGUCAAAUCAUCAUGCCCCUUAUGACCUGUUGCUACUCCCGUGCUACUAUGGCUGGUACAACAAGUCGCAAUACUGGGAGCGGCAAGGUAUUCUUUAAAACCCAUUUUCAUUUGGAAUGGUAUGUGCCACUUGACCCCCAGAAGGUGGAGUUGGUUGUUAUUGCAGAUCAACCACGCUGCGGUGAAUACGUUCUCGGGCCU
This 1377-nucleotide ribosomal RNA is filed under the name uncultured bacterium. Its description in RNAcentral is "partial 16S ribosomal RNA". It matches the Rfam family "Bacterial small subunit ribosomal RNA", at positions 28 to 1381 of the family's 1533-position model. The record is from RNAcentral.